Molecule: ribosomal RNA, 293 nt
Filed under: Vibrio cholerae
Lineage: Bacteria; Pseudomonadati; Pseudomonadota; Gammaproteobacteria; Vibrionales; Vibrionaceae
Description: partial 16S ribosomal RNA
Rfam family: Bacterial small subunit ribosomal RNA
Source: RNAcentral
UUAAUUGAAGAGUUUGAUCAUGGCUCAGAUUGAACGCUGGCGGCAGGCCUAACACAUGCAAGUCGAGCGGCAGCACAGAGGAACUUGUUCCUUGGGUGGCGAGCGGCGGACGGGUGAGUAAUGCCUGGGAAAUUGCCCGGUAGAGGGGGGAUAACCAUUGGAAACGAUGGCUAAUACCGCAUAACCUCGCAAGAGCAAAGCAGGGGACCUUCGGGCCUUGCGCUACCGGAUAUGCCCAGGUGGGAUUAGCUAGUUGGUGAGGUAAGGGCUCACCAAGGCGACGAUCCCUAGCU